UCCAUCCGCCGGCGAUGGCCGUGCGUGGCGGCCAUCCGUCCCCUGCCCCUGCCUACAAAGCCCCCCCGGUCGCCUCCCCGAAACCCUAGCGCCCUCCUCCUCUCGCCCCCAUCUCCCUCCCUCGCGCUCGGCCUCGUCGUCCUCCUCCGCCCCACCUAGCCGUCGCCGUCAUCAUCACGGCCACCGUCGUUUUCGUCGCUCGGCAGCACAUCAAGGAGGUCCGGUGUGGCCUGCUUCGUCCGUCCUGAGCACCAAACCGAGUCGAGGCGGCCCAUACGCUCUGCAUCGUCGUCGUCUCCUCGCCACGACCGCCGUCUCUCGUCAUCAAAUUCGACGCAUCCCGGCCACCCCGCGCUCGCUGACCUCAACCACAAACACCAGGAUGUCGGAGUCCAGGAGCCAGAUUCCACCUUUGACGACUGCUACUACCCCGACGGUGCCUACUACUACGUGAAGACCGCCGACGACCAGGAGUAGUUAGGAGGCUCCCAGGCAGGAUGCCUUGCCUUUUCGAUCGAUGUUGCUUUUGUGCUAGCCUUCUUAAGGCAAACUUGUCUAACUCAUGUCUGUGCUUAGAUAUUGUUGCUUCCGCUGACUCUUGUGUUUUUGAGCUUAUGUAUUCGAGCCCUCGAGGCCCCUGGCUUGUAAUAUAAAGUUUUUAUUAUUUUAAUUUAUGUCUAGAGUUGUGUUGUGAUAUCUCCCCGUGAAUCCUUGAUCUUGAUUGUACACAUUUGCGUGUAUAAUUAGUGUACGAUUGAAUCGACGACGUCACACUUGGUUACACGAUCCCAUUUA
Molecule: long non-coding RNA, 795 nt
Organism: Triticum urartu
Lineage: Eukaryota; Viridiplantae; Streptophyta; Magnoliopsida; Poales; Poaceae
Source: RefSeq, a predicted model, not a curated record